RNAcentral lists this ribosomal RNA (450 nucleotides) under Triticum aestivum (bread wheat). Its description in RNAcentral is "partial small subunit ribosomal RNA". Lineage: Eukaryota; Viridiplantae; Streptophyta; Magnoliopsida; Poales; Poaceae. The record is from RNAcentral.
AUGAAACAACCUCCUGGGUUUGAAAACAAACAUGCACCCUCUUAUGUAUGCAAGCUUGAUAAAGCAUUGUAUGGACUGAAGCAGGCCCCUAGAGCAUGGUAUUCCCGUCUCAGCAAGAAGAUGCAAAUGCUUGGAUUUGUUCCUUCAAAGUCUGACACUUCAUUGUUUAUUUACAAUAAGUCCAAUACAUCAAUAUUUGUUCUUAUAUAUGUUGAUGAUAUUAUUGUCACAAGUUCAUCUCAUGAGGCAAUAACAGGACUGUUGAAGGACUUAAGUGCUGAGUUUGCUCUAAAGGAUCUUGGGGACUUGCACUAUUUCCUAGGGAUUGAAGUGAAGAAGCACAAGGAUGGGCUUCAUCUCUCCCAGGAAAAAUAUGCAAAUGAUUUGGUAAGAAAAGCUGGGUUGCAAGGCUGUAAACCUACUACUACUCCUUUGUCUAGUACAGAAUAA